GUGAAAUUGUUGAAAGGGAAACGAUUGAAGUCAGUCGUACCGGCGGAUAAUCAACCUUUCGGCGUGAUUAUGUGGAGCGUGAGGAGUUAAUCACUUUCAUGCCUGCAUAUUCGUGUAUUUUGGGUGUACUUAUCUGUAUGGUAGGUUAACAUCAAUUUUGGUCGUUAUAAAAUGGUUGGAGGAAUGUAGCUUCGAUCUCGUAUUGAAGUGUUAUAGACUCCGGCAGAUGUGAUGAUCGGGAUUGAGGAUUGCAACGGAUACCCUUCGGGGCUACCCGUCUGAUCUCUGAAAGUUGCUCUGGUGCCGAAAGCUCGCUUACGGUCAUCAAAGUUGACGUUCAACAGGUUAGAACGGGAUAAAUUCGUUAAGGAUGUUGACGUAAUGGCUUUAAACGAC
RNAcentral lists this ribosomal RNA (396 nucleotides) under uncultured Rhizophagus. RNAcentral describes it as "partial 28S ribosomal RNA". Lineage: Eukaryota; Fungi; Glomeromycota; Glomeromycetes; Glomerales; Glomeraceae. The record is from RNAcentral.